This 490-nucleotide ribosomal RNA is filed under the name uncultured bacterium. RNAcentral describes it as "partial 16S ribosomal RNA". It matches the Rfam family "Bacterial small subunit ribosomal RNA", at positions 31 to 507 of the family's 1533-position model. The record is from RNAcentral.
AGGGAAAGCGGGCGGCAGGCCUAACACAUGCAAGUCGAACGGUAACAGGAAGCAGCUUGCUGCUUUGCUGACGAGUGGCGGACGGGUGAGUAAUGUCUGGGAAACUGCCUGAUGGAGGGGGAUAACUACUGGAAACGGUAGCUAAUACCGCAUAACGUCGCAAGACCAAAGAGGGGGACCUUAGGGCCUCUUGCCAUCGGAUGUGCCCAGAUGGGAUUAGCUAGUAGGUGGGGUAACGGCUCACCUAGGCGACGAUCCCUAGCUGGUCUGAGAGGAUGACCAGCCACACUGGAACUGAGACACGGUCCAGACUCCUACGGGAGGCAGCAGUGGGGAAUAUUGCACAAUGGGCGCAAGCCUGAUGCAGCCAUGCCGCGUGUAUGAAGAAGGCCUUCGGGUUGUAAAGUACUUUCAGCGGGGAGGAAGGGAGUAAAGUUAAUACCUUUGCUCAUUGACGUUACCCGCAGAAGAAGCACCGGCUAACUCCGUG